AUGGCGAAGUAUUGGUGGGGAAGUUCCAUUUACAAGCGUUCUCUUCAUUGGCUCUCAUGGAAAAAACUUGCAAAACCAAAAGUAAAGGGCGGCAUGGGCUUCCGAGAUCUACACCUCUUCAAUCUUGCGAUGCUUGGAAAACAUGGCUGGCGCCUUUUUACCAAGCCGGACUCUUUAUGUGCUCGGGUGUUAAAGGGGAAAUAUUUCCCUCACACAGAUUUCCUCAACGCCACAUCUCCGGCUCGAUCUUCAGCGACCUGGAAGGCUAUCAUUGCAGGGCGGGAUGCCCUCAGUGUUGGUCUUAUUCGCCGAGUGGGCGACGGACAAUCCAUAGCUACCUGGAUUGACAGUUGGAUACCCAACACCCCGACACUAAAGCCCAGGGGGCGCAUUGGAACGGCGCCACUUCCAACUGUCUCAGAGCUCAUUGAUGAUUACACUGGUAACUGGAAUGAGCAACUGAUUCGUCAAAAUUUCAUGCUACCGGACGUGGAGGCUAUCCUGAAUAUACCACUUAACCCGAACGGCGGCGAAGAUACUCUGGCUUGGGCCUUGGAGAAAUCUGGCAUCUAUUCUGUAAAAUCAGCGUAA
Molecule: ribosomal RNA, 591 nt
Filed under: Triticum aestivum (bread wheat)
Lineage: Eukaryota; Viridiplantae; Streptophyta; Magnoliopsida; Poales; Poaceae
Description: partial small subunit ribosomal RNA
Source: RNAcentral